GCCCUCACUCGGUAAUCUUCCGGUAUGGGGUGACUGCGGAAGGAUCAUUACCGAGUGAGGGCCCUCUGGGUCCAACCUCCCACCCGUGUCUAUCGUACCUUGUUGCUUCGGCGGGCCCGCCGUUUCGACGGCCGCCGGGGAGGCCUUGCGCCCCCGGGCCCGCGCCCGCCGAAGACCCCAACAUGAACGCUGUUCUGAAAGUAUGCAGUCUGAGUUGAUUAUCGUAAUCAGUUAAAACUUUCAACAACGGAUCUCUUGGUUCCGGCAUCGAUGAAGAACGCAGCGAAAUGCGAUAAGUAAUGUGAAUUGCAGAAUUCAGUGAAUCAUCGAGUCUUUGAACGCACAUUGCGCCCCCUGGUAUUCCGGGGGGCAUGCCUGUCCGAGCGUCAUUGCUGCCCUCAAGCACGGCUUGUGUGUUGGGCCCCCGUCCCCCUCUCCCGGGGGACGGGCCCGAAAGGCAGCGGCGGCACCGCGUCCGGUCCUCGAGCGUAUGGGGCUUUGUCACCUGCUCUGUAGGCCCGGCCGGCGCCAGCCGACACCCAACUUUAUUUUUCUAAGGUUGACCUCGGAUCAGGUAGGGAUACCCGCUGAACUUAAGCAUAUCAUAGCCCCGAAGGAACAUUACCGA
This 628-nucleotide ribosomal RNA is filed under the name Aspergillus sp. BM7. Its description in RNAcentral is "eukaryotic LSU rRNA". The stretch from base 236 to 389 matches the Rfam family "5.8S ribosomal RNA". The record is from RNAcentral. Lineage: Eukaryota; Fungi; Ascomycota; Eurotiomycetes; Eurotiales; Aspergillaceae.